This 497-nucleotide ribosomal RNA is filed under the name uncultured bacterium. Its description in RNAcentral is "partial 16S ribosomal RNA". It matches the Rfam family "Bacterial small subunit ribosomal RNA", at positions 28 to 507 of the family's 1533-position model. The record is from RNAcentral.
GAUGAACGCUGGCGGCGUGCCUAAUACAUGCAAGUCGAGCGAACAGACGAGGAGCUUGCUCCUCUGACGUUAGCGGCGGACGGGUGAGUAACACGUGGAUAACCUACCUAUAAGACUGGGAUAACUUCGGGAAACCGGAGCUAAUACCGUAUAAUAUAUUGAACCGCAUGGUUCAAUAGUGAAAGACGGUUUUGCUGUCACUUAUAGAUGGAUCCGCGCCGCAUUAGAUAGUUGGUAAGGUAACGGCUUACCAAGGCAACGAUGCGUAGCCGACCUGAGAGAGUGAUCGGCCACACGGGAAGUGAGACAGGGUCCAGACUCCUACGGGAGGCAGCAGUAGGGAAUCGGACGCAAUGGGCGAAAGCCUGACGGAGCGACGCCGCGUGAGAGAUGAAGGUCUUCGGAUCGUAAAACUCUGUUAUUAGGGAAGAACCAAUGUGUAAGUAAAUAUGGACGUCUUGACGGUACCGAAUCAGAAAGCCACGGCUAACUACGUG